GCGUGAGCGAUGAAGGCCUUCGGGUUGUAAAGCUCUUUCGUGGGGGAAGAUAAUGACUGUACCCCAAGAAGAAGCCCCGGCUAACUCCGUGCCAGCAGCCGCGGUAAUACGGAGGGGGCUAGCGUUGUUCGGAAUUACUGGGCGUAAAGCGCACGUAGGCGGACCAGAAAGUCAGGGGUGAAAUCCCGGGGCUCAACCCCGGAACUGCCUUUGAAACUUCUGGUCUUGAGGUCGAGAGAGGUGAGUGGAAUUCCGAGUGUAGAGGUGAAAUUCGU
This 275-nucleotide ribosomal RNA is filed under the name uncultured bacterium. RNAcentral describes it as "partial 16S ribosomal RNA". It matches the Rfam family "Bacterial small subunit ribosomal RNA", at positions 399 to 691 of the family's 1533-position model. The record is from RNAcentral.